GCACCCUUAGCUCAAUGGUAGAGCAGCUGACUCUUAAUCAGUAGGUUGAAGGUUCAAGUCCUUCAGGGUGCA
This 72-nucleotide transfer RNA is filed under the name Gemmatimonas sp. RNAcentral describes it as "tRNA-Lys". It matches the Rfam family "tRNA". Rfam says of the family: Transfer RNA (tRNA) molecules are approximately 80 nucleotides in length. Their secondary structure includes four short double-helical elements and three loops (D, anti-codon, and T loops). RNAcentral also lists the same sequence under 1 other name. The record is from RNAcentral. Lineage: Bacteria; Pseudomonadati; Gemmatimonadota; Gemmatimonadia; Gemmatimonadales; Gemmatimonadaceae.